AGCACUGUGUGGUAUCUACAGCCAGAUGCUUCAUCAACUGGCUCGUUCAAAAGUCAGUGCGAGACUAAGUCAACACUUGGCAUCGUUGGUCUCCAUAGCAACUGCUGGGAGUCCUGGUAGUUGGGUUGAAACAUUU
Molecule: small nucleolar RNA, 136 nt
Organism: Takifugu rubripes (torafugu)
Lineage: Eukaryota; Metazoa; Chordata; Actinopteri; Tetraodontiformes; Tetraodontidae
Product: small nucleolar RNA SNORA8
Source: Ensembl